This 255-nucleotide ribosomal RNA is filed under the name uncultured bacterium. Its description in RNAcentral is "partial 16S ribosomal RNA". It matches the Rfam family "Bacterial small subunit ribosomal RNA", at positions 524 to 777 of the family's 1533-position model. The record is from RNAcentral.
UACGUAGGGCGCAAGCGUUGUCCGGAAUUAUUGGGCGUAAAGAGCUCGUAGGCGGUUUGUCGCGUCUGCUGUGAAAACUCAGGGCUUAACCCUGAGCCUGCAGUGGGUACGGGCAGACUAGAGUGUGGUAGGGGAGAUCGGAAUUCCUGGUGUAGCGGUGGAAUGCGCAGAUAUCAGGAGGAACACCGGUGGCGAAGGCGGUUCUCUGGGCCUGCUACUGACGCUGAGGAGCGAAAGCGUGGGGAGCGAACAGGA